GCUCUUAAUGCUAUGAAAUUUAUAAUAAAAUGGGCUUUACAAAUCACAUGAAAGAUGUAUUAUGUUUUUCUUUUGCUGACCCCUGUUUAACUUUGGCAGAUGUUAAACACAAUUUAAUCAAAGCUCAAGAGGUAUUAUUCAAUUGGGUUUUCCUGAUGAAGCAGGGCUGGCCAGAUUUGCCAAAGCUGUGAAGAACUCAUCAACUCUGAUGUGAUUAAUUUGUAACAUUACGUGCUAUUUUAAUGCAGUUUUGCAAAAGUUGUGAAAAACACACCUCCUCUGAUGUGAUUAAUUUGUGACAUCACCAGCGUAUACAAAAGCAGGGUCCGUACUGAUCUAGUCACAUUUGCUGGUUUCUGGCAUAUCUGUACCUCCGGAGCCAUUUCAUCUGCUAAGAAGACUCUUUUCAGAAUGAAGCCACUAUUAAUGAAUUGACAGACUCAGAAUGUUUGAGGGCUUAUGAAGAAUGGGAGGUUGACCAGCCAUUUGCUGAUGUUGCUAUUGCCAUAGAGAACCAAUUGACAGACUCAGAAUGUUUGAGGGCAUAUGAAGAAUGGGAGGAUGACCAGCCUUUUGUGGAGUUUACAUACCCCCAAGGGGCCCAGCAUGACAAGAGCCCACCCCAGCCAUGCACAAGCUACACAACACGAAUGCUGUUAGGAGAGCCGGCCUGCAAAAAAGCAAAAAUGCAUGGAAGUGGACUUCCCGCAUCCCCAGCAGACAGCCAUAAAUGUUAUUCCAUGCCUGCAUCUCAAUCAGAAGGGGAGAUAUGUCAUUCUACGCCACAGCUACAAGACCCUAACUCUGCAAACUCUCAGAAUAUGAACAAUGUUUAUCUGGAUAUGGUACAGGAAUGGGAGAAGCCCAUCAGAAAUGUCAGGGCUGUGGAAUAUUAUCAACGCUAUAGCUUUAUUAAUCUUGACUGAAUCCAGUCUUUUGUAGAUGCUAUAGAGGCUAUUCAUAAUGUGAUACAGACUCUUUUGAAUAAUGUUGCUAGGGACAUAGGACCAAACGAUUUUGUUCAACUCCGGCUGGAUGCAGAGGGGUUAAAUCAU
This is a long non-coding RNA of Crotalus tigris (Tiger rattlesnake), 1055 nucleotides long. RefSeq lists it as uncharacterized. The transcript is spliced from 5 exons. The record is from RefSeq and is a predicted model, not a curated record. NCBI's taxonomy places the organism in Eukaryota, Metazoa, Chordata, Lepidosauria, Squamata, Viperidae.